RNAcentral lists this long non-coding RNA (416 nucleotides) under Musa acuminata (dwarf banana). RNAcentral's name for it is "long non-coding RNA (MACU_LNC006365)". Lineage: Eukaryota; Viridiplantae; Streptophyta; Magnoliopsida; Zingiberales; Musaceae. The record is from RNAcentral.
UCUCAACUAACAUAUAUAUUAUUUAGAAAUAUUCAAACGCAUACAUGGAACAAUUCAUCAAAUCAAUAUGAUGAUCCACCUAAUUUGAUCUCAUUCCCUAUUUUAAAGAGUAUCCAAUCUCUUCUAAUCGGAAGAUCCACCACAUUUGAUCUCAUUCCUUAUUUUAAAGAGUUUCCAAUCUCUUCUAAUCGGACAACUCACCUCAUCCAAUAAGAAUUGGACUUGCUCUCAAGCAUUUAUGGACGGAAGACGCGAUGCAUCGGCGUCCUCACCACACAAAUGUUCUUGUAUUACGUUUGUAAGAACAAAGGAACAAAGGGAGGGAGAAACUUCCAUGCAAUAUCUAUUACUGCAAAUAUUUACAUGAAGGUAGAAAGCAUAUGAAUGUGACGAGCCAUAGAAUACUUGGACUUCCG